Molecule: long non-coding RNA, 650 nt
Organism: Melitaea cinxia (Glanville fritillary)
Lineage: Eukaryota; Metazoa; Arthropoda; Insecta; Lepidoptera; Nymphalidae
Exons: 2
Source: RefSeq, a predicted model, not a curated record
AUUAUACUACUAAGAGUCUUUUUCACUGGUUUCUAAUAAAAUUACAUUGGGAAUAGAAUUUUUUUUUCGUGCCUCACGAAGCCAAGGACUAAAAUUUCUACUUGGGCUUUGAACACUCUCAAGGCCUUCCACACAAACAUUUUAAAUGUGAAGAAAUACAUAGUCAGUAUCUUUACGGUGAGGUUGAACGUUGCACUAGCUGGGAUGUGCUUCUCGAACUCUUUCAACCGGCUAUUUAUCGAAUAAGAGAGCUCUUCCACCGACUUCAGAACUCGUUCAAUUCAUUUUGUUUAGUGCGCGAUAGAGUGAAGUAAUAGUAAACCAAGGCAAGUAACAGUUAUUAUAGCGUAAAUAAAUAAAAUUAACUUUAAAAUCAAAAUAUAAUUGAGGUCCAGUUAAUAACACGUCUACGCAGUUUAAAUUCUAACCGCCAAAAUAAACCUUUAUUUUCCACUAAAUCUAUUCCACUAAUCGAGUUUUUGCAAAACUAAAUCUUUUCUGUUCUAUUUUUUUUUACAUCAUUAAUAGCAUUAUCUUUUUUAUUCAUCUUUUUUUUGUAUUUUGACAACUGACAACUGCAACAUAUUUUAUUUAUACUAUUUUUUUGUGUAUAAAAAAUAUCCGCGAUAUGUGUGAAUAAAUGUGUUCUU